AGGGAAUCUUCGGCAAUGGGGGGAACCCUGACCGAGCAACGCCGCGUGAGUGAAGAAGGUUUUCGGAUCGUAAAGCUCUGUUGUAAGAGAAGAACGUGUGUGAGAGUGGAAAGUUCACACAGUGACGGUAACUUACCAGAAAGGGACGGCUAACUACGUGCCAGCAGCCGCGGUAAUACGUAGGUCCCGAGCGUUGUCCGGAUUUAUUGGGCGUAAAGCGAGCGCAGGUGGUUGUAUAAGUCUGAAGUAAAAGGCAGUGGCUCAGCCAUUGUGUGCUUUGGAAACUGUACAACUUGAGUGCAGAAGGGGAGAGUGGAAUUCCAUGUGUAGCGGUGAAAUGCGUAGAUAUAUGGAGGAACACCGGUGGCGAAAGCGGCUCUCUGGUCUGUAACUGACACUGAGGCUCGAAAGCGUGGGGAGCAAAC
RNAcentral lists this ribosomal RNA (425 nucleotides) under uncultured bacterium. RNAcentral describes it as "bacterial SSU rRNA". It matches the Rfam family "Bacterial small subunit ribosomal RNA", at positions 356 to 773 of the family's 1533-position model. The record is from RNAcentral.